RNAcentral lists this long non-coding RNA (2355 nucleotides) under Lathyrus oleraceus (garden pea). Its description in RNAcentral is "Pisum sativum (pea) long non-coding RNA (PSAT_LNC034303)". Lineage: Eukaryota; Viridiplantae; Streptophyta; Magnoliopsida; Fabales; Fabaceae. The record is from RNAcentral.
AAAACUAUUAGCUGACUACAGGCUGCACUCCUUCCAGGAUAUCUAAACCCUUCUUUUCUGGGUGAUAAAACUAAAGAGGCCGCCUUGUACCUCGUCACACACAAUUUAGCUCCUGGUUUUUUUACAUAUCCUGCUAAUGAUGACUCUCGUGUUGAGGAAGAUGCUUCAAAACAUAUCUAAAUUUGUAGGUCAAAUACUAUCUAAAUAAGACCUGUCAAUUGUGUGCUUUUUUAUGUGUGCCUUUCAUGAAUUUCUCCUUUCAUUUUGUUGUGAGUGCAGAUCAUUUGCUUCUCUUGUAUCAGUUAUAUGUGUAAUGCUUUAAAUAAUAAGAAGCAAAUUAAAUAUCAGUUUCUUUUCUAUACAUUUUUAUGUCAAUGAUCACCUUUAUUUAUUAGACUUGAUUUUCGCUUUCAAUCAACAGACAUUAUUAAUGUGAAAAUAUUGUAUUUUCUGUUAACUCAGAACAACAUAUAUUUCAUAUCAAAAAAAAAGAAUUAUUUUCUAUUUCUCUGGGUAUUUCAAACAAAUCACAUAUUUUCAAUGACCUUAUAUAUCACCACGGUUUUUGUAAUCACAUCUGGUGUAAAUUUUAAUCAUUUUAUCAUGGUUCUUGUUGUCAACCAUGGUGAAAGAAAGGAAAUGGGUAGAAAUGGAUGGAUUUAUUUAUUGGGAAAAUACUCGACGUUGGAUCGAGUUUUUAUUUUUGAUCUUUUGGAAAUGGUUGAUUAUAUUCUUGUGUUAGCAGCUAGCUAAACAAUUAAGCAAAUAAAGAAAUAAAACAGUAAAGUUAUUACACAUCAUGAGAGUGGGGGUACAUUUUGUCGAAUGGGGAUUCAAGAUAAUGAAAUAAUUAAAUCGGGCCCAAACAACAAACAAACAAUGCAUGAGUGUAGGUGCGAGAGAACGGUCUCAUUUUAAGAAAGCCCAAGAGUAAACUAUGUGAGGUUAAUGACGAUGCUUAAAAGCAAUCGACUUACAAGGGUAUGGAAGUGGAAAUUCAAGAUAAUGAGACAAUUAAAUUGGGCUCGAACAACCAAUUCAUGAGUAUAGGUGUGAAAGAACGUCUCAUUGUAAGAAAGCCCAAGAGUAAGCUAUAUGAAGAAAGCAACAAACACAAAGUUAUAUUUACAAGAUAAUAAAAAAUUAAAUCAAAAGGAGUAAAAUCGGGACGUGCACGGAUUAAAACCAGGAUGCGAGGAUGCGAAUCGAGGUCACAUAACGCAAAGACGUGCAAGGCGAAUGAAAAUUGAAAAACAAACAAAACCCUAGAUAAUGUGCUCAAAUCCUGUUUGUGCAUAUUGACAAUAAUCGAAAUGUCGUAUGCGAUGAAUUAAAAUGCGGCGAAAAUAUCUAUCAAUGUAUCAAAUAUAAAAAAAAAUCUGGCGGCAUAACGUCAUGAAAAUAUCGGAUUCGUGGAUUAAAAUCUGACUUUUGAGCAAUGAAGAUAAAAAACAAAAACUUAAAAUUAUAUUAAUACCUACAAGUCUACAAUUUCAAAGGUUAACAAACAAAAUCUUGCAAAAAUCACAACAACAAAAAGAAAGCCUUCUAACAAUUCGAUUGUCAAAAAUAAAAAUAAUUAAUUAGCUAUAUUAUAUUUACAAAGAAUAAUAACUAGAAUUAUAUUUAAGAAAGUAAAGUGGAAAAAAAAAUGGGGUGCAAAUAUAAUAGGGGGUUUUAGCCAAAUGAAAUCUAGCUUGGCCCUAUAUCAGAUUUAAAUACUCCUAAACCCCCAAUUAAAAUGAAAUCUUCGUGUCGUUUCCUCGCUUCUCAAUUGGCAGCCACGAUCGGCGAUAAUCGGAGCUCGCAGCCGCGGUCAGAGAUUCGUCGGCGGUACAGAUCUGAGACGGCGAUGGUAGGUAACGAUCGUGUAGUCAGACGCGAAUUUUUUCCGACUCCCUUUCUAUUCUUCUCUCAGUCUGAUUUUUGUGAACAUUUGUUGUGUUGUUGCCGUGUUAUUUGGGUGUGCCAUGGUAUAUUGGUUUGUGAUUGUUGUUCGGCGGUAAUGGUGGCGGAAUGGCUGUGAGUUGCCAAUGGUGGUUCGAGGAGCGAGUUCGGAGUUGAUUCGUACGGAGGAGCGAUGAAAAUGGAAGAUGGUGUUAGUGGUUGUUGCCGGUAGGGACAUCUGCGUGCUAUCGGUGGGACGGCGGAAGGGUUUUCAAUUGAAACGUGAGGAGGGAGGUUUUCUGUGUUUUUUAUGCAGAAGAGAGAGAUUUCCAAAAUGUUCCCUUGUCUUUCUUUUAUUUCUGAGUGAUAAAGUCGUUGUAAUCCAGUGGUCCCUCUCCUCCCUUUCGUCGUUUUUCUUUUUUUUCCUUAAAAAGCUCAGCAGCAAGCCUUUACUAGAGAGUCCUCCAC